This 511-nucleotide ribosomal RNA is filed under the name uncultured Glomus. RNAcentral's name for it is "SSU rRNA". It matches the Rfam family "Eukaryotic small subunit ribosomal RNA", at positions 569 to 1081 of the family's 1831-position model. The record is from RNAcentral. Lineage: Eukaryota; Fungi; Glomeromycota; Glomeromycetes; Glomerales; Glomeraceae.
AACAGCCGCGGUAAUUCCAGCUCCAAUAGCGUAUAUUAAAGUUGUUGCAGUUAAAAAGCUCGUAGUUGAAUUUCGGGUUAGCAGGUCGGUCGUGCCAUUGGUAUGAACUGGUCUCGCUGAUCCCUCCCUCUUGACGAACUGUGAUGCCAUUAAUUUGGUGUCGCAGGGAAUCAGGACUGUUACUUUGAAAAAAUUAGAGUGUUUAAAGCAGGCUCACGCUUGAAUACAUUAGCAUGGAAUAAUGAAAUAGGACGUUUGAUCCUAUUUUGUUGGCUUCUAGGAUUGACGUAAUGAUUAAUAGGGAUAGUUGGGGGCAUUAGUAUUCAAUUGUCAGAGGUGAAAUUCUUGGAUUUAUUGAAGACUAACUACUGCGAAAGCAUUUGCCAAGGAUGUUUUCAUUAAAUCAAGAACGAAAGUUAGGGGAUCGAAGACGAUCAGAUACCGUCGUAGUCUUAACCAUAAACUAUGCCGACUAGGGAUCGGAUGAUGUUAAUUUUUUAAUGACUCAUUC